GGGGGGCCCAGAGCGUGAAUCAGUGUGGGGUUGUGUGGAAGGGUCUGGAAAGGCGCGCGAUACAGGGUGACAGCCCCGUACACAAAAAUACACAUAUUGUGAGCUCGAUGAGUAGGGCGGGACACGUGGUAUCCUGUCUGAAUAUGGGGGGACCAUCCUCCAAGGCUAAAUACUCCUGACUGACCGAUAGUGAACCAGUACCGUGAGGGAAAGGCGAAAAGAACCCCGGCGAGGGGAGUGAAAAAGAACCUGAAACCGUGUACGUACAAGCAGUGGGAGCACGCUUAGGCGUGUGACUGCGUACCUUUUGUAUAAUGGGUCAGCGACUUAUAUUCUGUAGCAAGGUUAACCGAAUAGGGGAGCCGAAGGGAAACCGAGUCUUAACUGGGCGUUAAGUUGCAGGGUAUAGACCCGAAACCCGGUGAUCUAGCCAUGGGCAGGUUGAAGGUUGGGUAACACUAACUGGAGGACCGAACCGACUAAUGUUGAAAAAUUAGCGGAUGACUUGUGGCUGGGGGUGAAAGGCCAAUCAAACCGGGAGAUAGCUGGUUCUCCCCGAAAGCUAUUUAGGUAGCGCCUCGUGAAUUCAUCUCCGGGGGUAGAGCACUGUUUCGGCAAGGGGGUCAUCCCGACUUACCAACCCGAUGCAAACUGCGAAUACCGGAGAAUGUUAUCACGGGAGACACACGGCGGGUGCUAACGUCCGUCGUGAAGAGGGAAACAACCCAGACCGCCAGCUAAGGUCCCAAAGUCAUGGUUAAGUGGGAAACGAUGUGGGAAGGCCCAGACAGCCAGGAUGUUGGCUUAGAAGCAGCCAUCAUUUAAAGAAAGCGUAAUAGCUCACUGGUCGAGUCGGCCUGCGCGGAAGAUGUAACGGGGCUAAACCAUGCACCGAAGCUGCGGCAGCGACGCUUAUGCGUUGUUGGGUAGGGGAGCGUUCUGUAAGCCUGCGAAGGUGUGCUGUGAGGCAUGCUGGAGGUAUCAGAAGUGCGAAUGCUGACAUAAGUAACGAUAAAGCGGGUGAAAAGCCCGCUCGCCGGAAGACCAAGGGUUCCUGUCCAACGUUAAUCGGGGCAGGGUGAGUCGACCCCUAAGGCGAGGCCGAAAGGCGUAGUCGAUGGGAAACAGGUUAAUAUUCCUGUACUUGGUGUUACUGCGAAGGGGGGACGGAGAAGGCUAUGUUGGCCGGGCGACGGUUGUCCCGGUUUAAGCGUGUAGGCUGGUUUUCNNGCGGAUGGAGCUGAAAUCAGUCGAAGAUACCAGCUGGCUGCAACUGUUUAUUAAAAACACAGCACUGUGCAAACACGAAAGUGGACGUAUACGGUGUGACGCCUGCCCGGUGCCGGAAGGUUAAUUGAUGGGGUCAGCGCAAGCGAAGCUCUUGAUCGAAGCCCCGGUAAACGGCGGCCGUAACUAUAACGGUCCUAAGGUAGCGAAAUUCCUUGUCGGGUAAGUUCCGACCUGCACGAAUGGCGUAAUGAUGGCCAGGCUGUCUCCACCCGAGACUCAGUGAAAUUGAACUCGCUGUGAAGAUGCAGUGUACCCGCGGCAAGACGGAAAGACCCCGUGAACCUUUACUAUAGCUUGACACUGAACAUUGAGCCUUGAUGUGUAGGAUAGGUGGGAGGCUUUGAAGUGUGGACGCCAGUCUGCAUGGAGCCGGCCUUGAAAUACCACCCUUUAAUGUUUGAUGUUCUAACGUGGACCCGUGAUCCGGGUUGCGGACAGUGUCUGGUGGGUAGUUUGACUGGGGCGGUCUCCUCCUAAAGAGUAACGGAGGAGCACGAAGGUUGGCUAAUCCUGGUCGGACAUCAGGAGGUUAGUGCAAUGGCAUAAGCCAGCUUGACUGCGAGCGUGACGGCGCGAGCAGGUGCGAAAGCAGGUCAUAGUGAUCCGGUGGUUCUGAAUGGAAGGGCCAUCGCUCAACGGAUAAAAGGUACUCCGGGGAUAACAGGCUGAUACCGCCCAAGAGUUCAUAUCGACGGCGGUGUUUGGCACCUCGAUGUCGGCUCAUCACAUCCUGGGGCUGAAGUAGGUCCCAAGGGUAUGGCUGUUCGCCAUUUAAAGUGGUACGCGAGCUGGGUUUAGAACGUCGUGAGACAGUUCGGUCCCUAUCUGCCGUGGGCGCUGGAGAACUGAGGGGGGCUGCUCCUAGUACGAGAGGACCGGAGUGGACGCAUCACUGGUGUUCGGGUUGUCAUGCCAAUGGCACUGCCCGGUAGCUAAAUGCGGAAGAGAUAAGUGCUGAAAGCAUCUAAGCACGAAACUUGCCCCGAGAUGAGUUCU
This 2286-nucleotide ribosomal RNA is filed under the name Shigella sonnei. Its description in RNAcentral is "bacterial LSU rRNA". It matches the Rfam family "Bacterial large subunit ribosomal RNA", at positions 292 to 2812 of the family's 2925-position model. The record is from RNAcentral. Lineage: Bacteria; Pseudomonadati; Pseudomonadota; Gammaproteobacteria; Enterobacterales; Enterobacteriaceae.